Molecule: ribosomal RNA, 301 nt
Filed under: uncultured bacterium
Lineage: Bacteria
Description: partial 16S ribosomal RNA
Rfam family: Bacterial small subunit ribosomal RNA
Source: RNAcentral
CAGCCGCCACGGGAAUACAGAGGGUGCAAGCGUUAAUCGGAAUUACUGGGCGUAAAGCGCGCGUAGGUGGUUUGUUAAGUUGGAUGUGAAAGCCCCGGGCUCAACCUGGGAACUGCAUCCAAAACUGGCAAGCUAGAGUACGGUAGAGGGUGGUGGAAUUUCCUGUGUAGCGGUGAAAUGCGUAGAUAUAGGAAGGAACACCAGUGGCGAAGGCGACCACCUGGACUGAUACUGACACUGAGGUGCGAAAGCGUGGGGAGCAAACAGGAUUAGAUACCCCUGUAGUCCCUGUCUCUUAUAC